CCUACGGGAGGCAGCAGUAGGGAAUAUUGCACAAUGGAGGAAACUCUGAUGCAGCGACGCCGCGUGAGUGAUGAAGGCCUUCGGGUCGUAAAGCUCUGUCGCAAGGGAAUAACACAAUGAAUGUACCUUGCAAGAAAGGAUCGGCUAACUACGU
RNAcentral lists this ribosomal RNA (154 nucleotides) under uncultured bacterium. RNAcentral describes it as "partial 16S ribosomal RNA". It matches the Rfam family "Bacterial small subunit ribosomal RNA", at positions 338 to 506 of the family's 1533-position model. The record is from RNAcentral.